Long non-coding RNA from Corapipo altera (White-ruffed manakin), 548 nucleotides. RefSeq lists it as uncharacterized. The transcript is spliced from 7 exons. The record is from RefSeq and is a predicted model, not a curated record. NCBI's taxonomy places the organism in Eukaryota, Metazoa, Chordata, Aves, Passeriformes, Pipridae.
UCACUGCAACGACAGACUGAGGGCAAACAAAAUUAAACCAGUUGGGUGAAUUAGCUCAGCAAGUGGCAGUUCACAGGAGGGUCUUUAUCUACUCUUUCCACAGACUGUGUGUGCAUAAUUGCAGGUUUUUCUGGAGGUUUUUUUGAGGUUAUUCUGCCAACUGUCUUUGUCAGUCUGGGGCACUGUUGCUUGGGAUGAAAGAGAUUCUGGCUGGUUUUCAUGUAUUAGAAGCUCUACAAACAAGCAUUUUUCAACUAGAAACUGAGGGGAGAAAAGAAAGCUGAGACUCAUAGAAUUCCAACCCGGAGAACUGUGGGCAACAGUGAGAAUACACCACAUAGGAUAUUAAAGAGUUACUGAAUGAGUGAAUAGUCACCGGUCUUGAAGAGAGCAGAAGACUGAUUCAACAGAGAAGUCCAAACACCUCUCCGUGAAGUGUUUUCAGAGUUUAUCCCCUGCUGAAAGUCUCCUCUAAGUUCUUUGCUGUUGCCCAGCCAACACCUGAGGGAUCACAAACAAACCUGGGAGUAAGUAAUUAAAAUUCAAAG